Molecule: transfer RNA, 91 nt
Filed under: Gossypium arboreum
Lineage: Eukaryota; Viridiplantae; Streptophyta; Magnoliopsida; Malvales; Malvaceae
Rfam family: tRNA
About the family: Transfer RNA (tRNA) molecules are approximately 80 nucleotides in length. Their secondary structure includes four short double-helical elements and three loops (D, anti-codon, and T loops).
Source: Rfam by way of RNAcentral
CCGACCUUAGCUCAGUUGGUAGAGCGGAGGACUGUAGUGGGUGCCCCCCAAAGUAAUCCUUAGGUCGCUGGUUCGAAUCCGGCAGGUCGGA